CUUAUGUUUCCAUGUCUCAUUGUCUUGUCUGUGUCAUCAUGAAUGUCUCAUGCUUCCUGUUUUGUUGUGAUAGUCCCUUGUCAUGUGUUCAGUGUAUUGAGUUUUGUUUCCUUGUGGCUCGUUAUGUCAGAUUCGUCCCAGCUGUGUUCCCACCUGUUCCCCAUCCUCUUGUUGUCCUACUUGUGCAUUUAAGCCCUGCAUCUUCCUUGUUCAUUGCUGGUUUGGUUGUCAGUCUUCCCCUGUGUGUCAUCCUCCAUGUUGCCUCUCUAUUUCUUCCUCAGUGUUUCAUAUCUCAGGCUCCUCCUUCCCAGUUUCAGGGUUUUGUUAUGUUUCCUUUGUUCCUCGUGUUCUUUUGUUAGUUUCUCCCUGUUCAGGUUUUGUAAGUUUUAUUCCCUGCCAUGCUCUGCUUUUGUCUGCAUUUAGUCUCACUGUAAAUAAAAACUCACUCCCAACUACUCUGUCCUCUGCAUCUGCACUUGGGUCCUUCUGUCGUCACUCCAUACGUCUGCCUCUGUAGCUGUGACACUCCCCUUUCCACAGGAAACCAUCAGCAAUGCUUUUUGUUGUGAAAUAAUAGCCAGAUGCAACAAUCUGAUGGAAAGCCUUGAACCAGAGUGGAGGCUUUUCCAGCAGCAGAUUAGUGCCCAUGGUUUGAUUUGGCAUGGAGAAGUUAAUGUUCACAUACUUUGUUCAUACGUUUUCAAACUUUAGGCAACAUGGACUAUGUUAAGGUGGCUGAAGAGCCGUCGCCAAGACCUGACAGAGAGGCAAGCAGAGCACUGCUGGUAACAGCAGAAUUUUCUCAUAACAGGUUGAUCUGGCAAAGAUUUGAUGCCAGAUGACCUUCCUGAUGCAACUCUCUCCAGUUAUCUAGGGCCGGAACCUGCAGUACACUGGCUUGUGUUCACACAUUGUGCGAUGAACUUCAUAGAAACUGUUUGCUUGAUGCUCAUUUGUGUCUGUAGCUCUAACUAGAUCCUGAAAUACCACAACUAUUAGUCAUGAACAUCUGCACCAAAAAU
Long non-coding RNA from Oreochromis niloticus (Nile tilapia), 1022 nucleotides. RefSeq lists it as uncharacterized. The record is from RefSeq and is a predicted model, not a curated record. Lineage: Eukaryota; Metazoa; Chordata; Actinopteri; Cichliformes; Cichlidae. The transcript has 3 exons.